Amphiprion ocellaris (clown anemonefish) is the source of this 77-nucleotide non-coding RNA. The record is from the annotation of a RefSeq genome assembly. NCBI's taxonomy places the organism in Eukaryota, Metazoa, Chordata, Actinopteri, Pomacentridae.
GCAAUGGUGGUGUAGUGGUUAGCAUAGCUGCCUUCCAAGCAGUUGACCUGGGUUUGAUUCCCAGCCAACUCAGUACC